CAGUCGCCGCGGUAAUACGUAGGGUGCGAGCGUUAAUCGGAAUUACUGGGCGUAAAGCGUGCGCAGGCGGUUAUAUAAGACAGUUGUGAAAUCCCCGGGCUCAACCUGGGAACUGCAUCUGUGACUGUAUAGCUAGAGUACGGUAGAGGGGGAUGGAAUUCCGCGUGUAGCAGUGAAAUGCGUAGAUAUGCGGAGGAACACCGAUGGCGAAGGCAAUCCCCUGGACCUGUACUGACGCUCAUGCACGAAAGCGUGGGGAGCAAACAGGAUUAGAUACCCGAGUAGUCCCUGUCUCUUAUAC
Molecule: ribosomal RNA, 301 nt
Filed under: uncultured bacterium
Lineage: Bacteria
Description: partial 16S ribosomal RNA
Rfam family: Bacterial small subunit ribosomal RNA
Source: RNAcentral